UGCCGCGCUUGCCCAGUUCGCGGGCUACGUGGCUGAAGGUCUCGGCACGGUUGGAGUCGCCCAUGUCGUGCAGGUCGGCGCGCGGCGCC
This 89-nucleotide transfer RNA is filed under the name Azotobacter vinelandii. RNAcentral describes it as "tRNA-Phe". Lineage: Bacteria; Pseudomonadati; Pseudomonadota; Gammaproteobacteria; Pseudomonadales; Pseudomonadaceae. The record is from RNAcentral.